RNAcentral lists this ribosomal RNA (1326 nucleotides) under Enterococcus thailandicus. RNAcentral describes it as "bacterial SSU rRNA". It matches the Rfam family "Bacterial small subunit ribosomal RNA", at positions 114 to 1425 of the family's 1533-position model. Lineage: Bacteria; Bacillati; Bacillota; Bacilli; Lactobacillales; Enterococcaceae. The record is from RNAcentral.
CACGUGGGUAACCUGCCCAUCAGAAGGGGAUAACACUUGGAAACAGGUGCUAAUACCGUAUAACAAUCGAAACCGCAUGGUUUUGAUUUGAAAGGCGCUUUCGGGUGUCGCUGAUGGAUGGACCCGCGGUGCAUUAGCUAGUUGGUGAGGUAACGGCUCACCAAGGCCACGAUGCAUAGCCGACCUGAGAGGGUGAUCGGCCACAUUGGGACUGAGACACGGCCCAAACUCCUACGGGAGGCAGCAGUAGGGAAUCUUCGGCAAUGGACGAAAGUCUGACCGAGCAACGCCGCGUGAGUGAAGAAGGUUUUCGGAUCGUAAAACUCUGUUGUUAGAGAAGAACAAGGAUGAGAGUAACUGUUCAUCCCUUGACGGUAUCUAACCAGAAAGCCACGGCUAACUACGUGCCAGCAGCCGCGGUAAUACGUAGGUGGCAAGCGUUGUCCGGAUUUAUUGGGCGUAAAGCGAGCGCAGGCGGUUUCUUAAGUCUGAUGUGAAAGCCCCCGGCUCAACCGGGGAGGGUCAUUGGAAACUGGGAGACUUGAGUGCAGAAGAGGAGAGUGGAAUUCCAUGUGUAGCGGUGAAAUGCGUAGAUAUAUGGAGGAACACCAGUGGGCGAAGGCGACUCUCUGGUCUGUAACUGACGCUGAGGCUCGAAAGCGUGGGGAGCAAACAGGAUUAGAUACCCUGGUAGUCCACGCCGUAAAACGAUGAGUGCUAAGUGUUGGAGGGUUUCCGCCCUUCAGUGCUGCAGCUAACGCAUUAAGCACUCCGCCUGGGGAGUACGACCGCAAGGUUGAAACUCAAAGGAAUUGACGGGGGCCCGCACAAGCGGUGGAGCAUGUGGUUUAAUUCGAAGCAACGCGAAGAACCUUACCAGGUCUUGACAUCCUUUGACCACUCUAGAGAUAGAGCUUCCCCUUCGGGGGCAAAGUGACAGGUGGUGCAUGGUUGUCGUCAGCUCGUGUCGUGAGAUGUUGGGUUAAGUCCCGCAACGAGCGCAACCCUUAUUGUUAGUUGCCAUCAUUUAGUUGGGCACUCUAGCAAGACUGCCGGUGACAAACCGGAGGAAGGUGGGGAUGACGUCAAAUCAUCAUGCCCCUUAUGACCUGGGCUACACACGUGCUACAAUGGGAAGUACAACGAGUCGCGAAGUCGCGAGGCUAAGCUAAUCUCUUAAAGCUUCUCUCAGUUCGGAUUGUAGGCUGCAACUCGCCUACAUGAAGCCGGAAUCGCUAGUAAUCGCGGAUCAGCACGCCGCGGUGAAUACGUUCCCGGGCCUUGUACACACCGCCCGUCACACCACGAAAGUUUGUAACACCCGAA